GGCGGGCGAAGGUCACAGGCCUUGGGCCAGUGGUGGGACACUGGAGCAGGAAGUCGGCCUGUGGCCGGCCAUGUUCAUGAGGGCGCGUCCCUUGGCACCCCUGUAGCCGCUAUGUUUCCCACGCCCGUGGCAGGCCUGAGAGAUUAUGUUUGCGGGGGGUGCUUUUUUUGUAGCUUCUGUGUUCGCCAUAUUUGAAAGGGGCAGACGGCCAUGUUCGUGAACGGCGCUUCCCUUGGUGCACCUGUGGCCGCCAUGUUUGAGCGAGGACCCCGUGGCAGGCCAGGACCGUUUCUCCGGUGCUAUCCCAGAGCAUGGCGCAUCCACUCAUUCACUCAAGGGAAAGGCCUGAAAGUAAAAUUGUAUCAACAUUAGGUUUGGCUAAUGUUGCCAUUAGGCAAACCUAAUUUUAAUGAAGCCAGGAGGUUCUCGUUUUGGGCCUUGACUGGACAGGUUUGAGCUAGAAACCACUUGAAGUAUUGAUCAUCCAUCUGAUCAUCAAGUUUUUUUUUUUUUUUGAGUUGGAGUCUCACUCUGUUGCUCACGCUGGAGUGCAGUGGCACGAUCUCAGCUCCCUGCAACCUCCACCUCCCGGGUUCUCCUGCCUCAGCCUUCCAAGUAGCUGGGAUUAUAAGCGUGUGCCACCAUGCCUGGCUACUUUUUUAUAUUUUCGGUUGAGAUGGGGUUUCACCGCGUGGCCAGGCUGGUCUCAAACUCCUGACCUCAAGUGAUCCGCCUGCCUCGGCCUCCCAAAGUGCUGGGAUUACAGGCGUGAGCCGCCACUCCCAGCUUGUUCAUCCAGUUUUUAUUGAGCAUCUAUUAUGUGCCGAUAUUGAGGUAGACUCUGGGAGUCACAGCAGUGAAUGCAGCUGCCUGGAUGCCUCGUGAGGGCCGGAGCCUCACUGGGGAGAUGGACAUGAACAGCAAAUGCACAGCGAGGAAAGCCAGGGGUCUGUGCGGGGAUGCUGCAGGACACGAGAACCAGCCAAGACCUAUGGCCCCUGCAGCCACCGAGGGCUCGAGAGCGCCCCUGUGGACUUGGCUGGGCCCUUCAUGGUGACAUCCAGGAAUGCGGCUGAGCGCGGGUGUUGACCUCGCUGUUUGCUGGAAUGUUUGGGUUCUUGGACCAUGUCAGUGACGGCUGUGUCACCAUGGCCUUGCUAUCCCCAGGAAAACCUAACAUGCACCCCGCGCCUGUCCUCUGGGACUCCCAUCCUCCUCCUUUGUCUGACCCCUGAGAGGCUUACCGUUUCCCCAGGGCAGCCCCGGCUGUGGCCCUCGGCCCUGCUCCAGGCGGCCAUGUCAGUGUCCUCCCUCGGCGCUCCCAACACCCUACCUGGCUCUGCGAUGGCCACCCUGGACUCCUAAACACCCCAGAAAGGGAAGAGAUUUAAGAGGAACCUUGAUUCCUGCCAUUCUGCGCAGUCGUGGGUCCCUCCUCCACCUGGGGCCCUCAAGGGGAUUUCUGUCCGCACUCCCAGCCAGCGACCCCUCCCAGUUCCUGCAGCUGGAGCGGCCCUCUCUCCUGAACAUUCGGGCACCUGCGUCUGUCACUGCAGCCAGAGGGCUGGAGUGUCUUCGGUCAACUCGCCAUCCCUGCCACGGCUGGAGGCCACAUGUCCCAGAACCUACCUUGCUGGGAUGGGGGUUGGGGUGGCAGAGGCUGAACGCGUGUGAGGUUUGGGGGAGGACAAGCGGAGCGGGGAUGUGUGGGAGGUCCUGGUGUCCACCGUGAGGAUGGUCACACCCCAUAGCUUUGUUGAUGCUGUGGCUGUAGCAGGCCCAGUGGCUCCGCUGAGCCUCCCUAGCACCAGUGCCCAGUGAAGUGUGGGGGGCUGGACAUAGGUGGCCUCAGUUCCUGGGACUCCCCCAAAGCUCUGGUUUCCCCCCUGCUCCCAGGCUUCAGGUGGACGAGUUAGUGACCACCCCCACUCCAGACCUCCCUCCCCUAGCCACCCCCACAGUUAUAAAAACCUUCAUUCUCAUAUGGAACCCCCUUUCCUGAAAUCCGUAGAGUGACUGACUGCUUUCUUGAGUGAAUCUGGACUGGGCCACAUGAUGAUCGCUGUACAGAGCAGCUGAGCUCCUCUGUCUCAGCCUCCCUGAGUUCACAGCAGGCUCUGGGCAUCAUCUCCGUGUCAUCCUAAGGCCACGGGCGGGGUUCCCACCAAACAGGAGAGCAGCUCUCCCGAGAUGAAGCCUUCUGAUAGCCCUAGAACCAAGAGGAACCGUGUGGGGUUGGGUGGGGUGUUUACUGUGCACUCCUGAUGUUCCCUCCCAGUGAAGGACACCCACCUGGGACACUGUGGCCCCUGGCCCUCCCUCCCUCCCCUCGGUGGCAGAGAGAACUUCCUGGUGGGUGACAGCCCAUGGUCCACCCUUGCCAGGUGGAUUCAGGCAAAAUACGCCAGGCUGUGUGCUGAAGGCAUCCCAUCUCUUCCUCGUCCCCUCUCGGCUGGAUCGGGGUGGGGCAGCGGGUGGUGAGUGUGUCUGUCCUGCCAGUUCAGCCUCCAACUGGUCUGCUGUGGGGCAGGAGCCCACCUGGCUCUCCUGCAGAGCUGCAUGGCCUGCCUUGCCUCACCCGUGACAACAGAGACUUUGGUUCUCCAUCUGCAGACGCAUUUGUCUUGUUUCUUAUUCGGUCCAGAACUCGGGUGGGAAGAAGGGUGAUGUUAUUUGGGUCCCCUCAAGACCUUGACAACAGAUAGUUUUUAAUAUCACAUUUUAAAGCCGCCAACUUUCUCUCCUCCACUUUGGUAUUUCCCUGAUUUUUAAACAGAAUGUCGGCUCUGGAGGCAGAAAGCUUGGGCUUGGAUCUGGGCCCUGCCACGCAGUAGCUAUGUGGCCAGGGAAUACAUAGCUUCCGGAUCUCCGAUCCCUACAGUAAAGUACAGAUAAAAAUACUUUUCAUUGAUGUGUUUGAAAUCGAAUGAGAUAGUUAAUGAAUGAGUAAGUGCUCUGCAAACUCCAGAGCGGGGUGCGCGUUCUGAUCUGUUUCAUAGAAUCUGACACGUACCCUUUCCCACCCCAGCGUCUCUGAAUUGGGAUGCAUCUGACAGCAAGUGUGGCAUCCGGGCUGCAGUUGCCGUUGUCUGCUCACAUGUGAAUUAAAAAAACAAUCUCAGCAUAUGAAAUCUCUAAUCGCGUAUGAACUUGGUGGUUAUUCCUGGUGCCGUGUGGAUAACUGCAGCCUCAACACCCCAGUCCACAAACCACGUACGGACCAACUGAGGAAGGAGUAGGGGUUCUUGUUGUUGCAGAAAACCCUCCCUCAACUUGCUCUAGAAGAUACCAGCAUUCAUACUUGGAGUGGGCAUCAGCAGCUUGGAAGACACAGCAGUGGGCCCCUCUUAGCAGGAGUGCCCCAUCUCAUGGCUCCCGACGACGACCCAGAGGGUGAUGCUGCGUAGGGGCUCACGGACAUUGGCACUCUAAGUCAGAGAUGCUCAGGUGAAGGGGGCUCUGAUGGUGAGGACAUUCAGAAAUAACAGAGAUUGGCUGGGUACGGUGGCUCACACCUGUAAUCCCAGCACUUUGGGAGGGAAGCCGAGGCAGGUGGAUCACUGGAGGUCAGCCUGGCCAACAUGGUGAAACCCCGUCUCUACUAAAAAUACAAAAAUUAGCUGGGCGUGGCGGCAUGUGUCUGUAAUCCCAGUUACUCGGGAGGCUGAGGCAGGAGAAUUGCUUGAACCUGGGAGGCAGAGGUUGCAGUGAGCCAAGAGUGCGCCACUGCACUCCAGCCUGGGCAACAGAGCGAGACUCUUUGUCUCAAAAAAGAAAAAAAAAAGAAACAACAGAGACUUAUUUUACUUAUGUUUUCCUCUUUUCUGUGUGUAUAAUGAGAGAAAUUAGGAUGCCAAAAAAAAAAGAAAAGAAAAGAAAAGAAAAACCAAGGCCUUCUAAGUCUAUAAAAAUUUUUUAAGUAAUUUUUUUUUUUUUUAAGAGACAGGGUCUUGCUCUGUAGCCCAGGCUGGGGUGCAGCAGUGCAAUCCCAGCUCACUGCAGCCUUGAGCUCCUGGGCUCAAAUGAUCCUCCCACGUUGGCCUCCCAAAGCAUAACACAUUUUAAAAUAAAAUUAUAGAUAAUAAGAAAGCAUUGUGUUAAAGUUUAAUUGGCAGCAUUUUAAAUUCUUUCUUACUGAGUUCCAGUUUUAAGCUCAGCUCUGCAGGUAAACAGCGGCACAAACCUGAUUGCAUUGCCUGGUCCCUCUGAGCCUCGGUUCCCUUAUCUGACAGCAGGGCUGUAUCUAUUCUAGCUCUCUGGGUUGCAGGUGAUGAGGAGAAGCAACCCUAAUCGGCUGAAGCCAAAGAAAGGACUUCAGAUCUCGUAACUGCAAAUCCUGGGGUCUAGCCUCAUAACUGCAAAUCCUGGGGUCUAGCCUCCCUCUCUGGUUCUUGUCACCUCCUCGUGGGCUUCAGUCCCAAGUUCCAGAUCGGGGCAAGACAUGGCCGAAGCCCAGGGCCCGCAUCCUCCCAGAUUCCAGCCACCUGGGAGUGUGUCUGUGGUCCCUGGUCUCUGACGAGGUCCUGUGCCCUGCCAUUGGUUCCAGGGGACUGCCGGAGCUGAUGGGUCAGGCCUGCACUGGAGCUGGGUGGAGUUGGCUCCAUCCUGAGGUUACCCCUAUGCCAGAGGGGCAUGGGUGGUUCCCAGGGUAGGGAAAGUGUGUGCUGGGUACCCAGACAUCGAAGCCUACUGUGCCUCCUUCUGUGACAAGGCAUGUGUCAUGUGUUGCUCCAGGAUGGGCAUGUACUCAUAGAUGGGGCUCAACAGGUUGAAUUCUCCUUUCCCUCCUUUCCUCUGGCUUAUGGUCAUCCACUCUUUGGAGCUAGCCAGGCCAAGUUGGAGGAUGCAAAGGUGAAUGGGGACACUGGCAUUCCAAAGGGGACCCGAUAUAGUUUGGCUGUGUCCCCACCCGAAUCUUACCUUGAAUUCCCAUGUGUUGUGGGAGGGACCUGGUGGGAGGUGAUUGAAUCAUGGGGGCAGGUCUUUCCCAUGCUGUUCUCAUGAUAGUGAAUAAGUCUCAUGAGAUCUGAUGGUUUUAUAAGGGGGAGUUUCCCCACAUAAGCUCU
Molecule: long non-coding RNA, 5066 nt
Filed under: Homo sapiens (human)
Lineage: Eukaryota; Metazoa; Chordata; Mammalia; Primates; Hominidae
Description: HSALNT0000777
Source: RNAcentral